GAUGAAGAACGUAGUGAAAUGCGAUAAGUAGUGUGAAUUGCAGAAUUCAGUGAAUCAUCGAAUCUUUGAACGCACAUUGCGCCCUUUGGUAUUCCUUAGGGCAUGCCUGUUCGAGCGUCAUUUAAACCUUCAAGCUAAGCUUGGUGUUGGGUGACUGUCCGCUUCACGGCGGACUCGCCUCAAAAUUAUUGGCGGCCGGUACAUUGGCUUCGAGCGCAGCAGAAACGCGAACUCGGGCCCGUCGUAUUGGCUCCCAGAAGCUAUCUUCACAAUUUUGACCUCGGAUCAGGUAGGGAUACCCGCUGAACUUAAGCAUAUCAAUAACGGAGGA
This 331-nucleotide unclassified non-coding RNA is filed under the name soil metagenome. Its description in RNAcentral is "partial contains 5.8S ribosomal RNA, internal transcribed spacer 2, and large subunit ribosomal RNA". The stretch from base 1 to 120 matches the Rfam family "5.8S ribosomal RNA", at positions 35 to 154 of the family's 154-position model. The record is from RNAcentral.